This 305-nucleotide ribosomal RNA is filed under the name uncultured bacterium. Its description in RNAcentral is "partial 16S ribosomal RNA". It matches the Rfam family "Bacterial small subunit ribosomal RNA", at positions 505 to 808 of the family's 1533-position model. The record is from RNAcentral.
ACAGCAGUAGCCACGGUAAUACGUAGGUGGCAAGCGUUGUCCGGAAUUAUUGGGCGUAAAGCGCGCGCAGGCGGUUUCUUAAGUCUGAUGUGAAAGCCCCCGGCUUAACCGGGGAGGGUCAUUGGAAACUGGGAGACUUAGAGUGCAGAAGAGGAGAGUGGAAUUCCAUGUGUAGCGGUGAAAUGCGUAGAUAUAUGGAGGAACACCAGUGGCGAAGGCGACUCUCUGGUCUGUAACUGACGCUGAGGCGCGAAAGCGUGGGGAGCAAACAGGAUUAGAUACCCCAGUAGUCCCUGUCUCUUAUA